UCAACUUGAGAGUUUGAUUCUGGCUCAGAACGAACGCUGGCGGCAGGCUUAACACAUGCAAGUCGAACGAUAUAGUGGCAGACGGGUGAGUAACGCGUGGGAACGUACCUUUCACUACGGAAUAGCUCUUGGAAACGAGUGGUAAUACCGUAUACGCCCUUCGGGGGAAAGAUUUAUCGGUGAAAGAUCGGCCCGCGUUAGAUUAGCUAGUUGGUAGGGUAAUGGCCUACCAAGGCGACGAUCUAUAGCUGGUCUGAGAGGAUGAUCAGCCACACUGGGACUGAGACACGGCCCAGACUCCUACGGGAGGCAGCAGUGGGGAAUCAUGGACAAUGGGGGCAACCCUGAUCCAGCCAUGCCGCGUGUGUGAAGAAGGCCUUCGGGUUGUAAAGCACUUUC
RNAcentral lists this ribosomal RNA (399 nucleotides) under Hyphomonas sp. RNAcentral's name for it is "bacterial SSU rRNA". It matches the Rfam family "Bacterial small subunit ribosomal RNA", at positions 1 to 437 of the family's 1533-position model. The record is from RNAcentral. Lineage: Bacteria; Pseudomonadati; Pseudomonadota; Alphaproteobacteria; Hyphomonadales; Hyphomonadaceae.